RNAcentral lists this ribosomal RNA (492 nucleotides) under uncultured bacterium. RNAcentral describes it as "partial 16S ribosomal RNA". It matches the Rfam family "Bacterial small subunit ribosomal RNA", at positions 29 to 507 of the family's 1533-position model. The record is from RNAcentral.
AGUGAACGCUGGCGGUAGGCCUAACACAUGCAAGUCGAACGGCAGCACAGUAAGAGCUUGCUCUUACGGGUGGCGAGUGGCGGACGGGUGAGGAAUACAUCGGAAUCUACUUUUUCGUGGGGGAUAACGUAGGGAAACUUACGCUAAUACCGCAUACGACCUACGGGUGAAAGCAGGGGAUCUUCGGACCUUGCGCGAUUGAAUGAGCCGAUGUCGGAUUAGCUAGUUGGCGGGGUAACGGCCCGCCAAGGCGACGAUCCGUAGCUGGUCUGAGAGGAUGAUCAGCCACACUGGAACUGAGACACGGUCCAGACUCCUACGGGGGGCAGCAGUGGGGAAUAUUGGACAAUGGGCGCAAGCCUGAUCCAGCCAUACCGCGUGGGUGAAGAAGGCCUUCGGGUUGUAAAGCCCUUUUGUUGGGAAAGAAAAGCAGCAGGUUAAUACCCCGCUGUUCUGACGGUACCCAAAGAAUAAGCACCGGCUAACUUCGUG